AAAACAUGGUAUAACAAUACCAAAAAAAAUAUAAAUACUGAAGUUUGAACAUCUAAUCUGACAUCUAGUCCGAAAACCUCUAACUAAACUGAAUAAGGAGUUGAAGGAACAUGUCUCCAACUAAUUCCAUGAACUAAACAACUAAUCUGAAAUACUGUAAUAAAGUAAUAAUAAUAUUGUCCUCGAAUGAAGAGGAGCACUGACUGCUGAAAUCUGCAAUGCUACUGCUGCUUUGAAACUCGUGCCUCUAUACC
Molecule: long non-coding RNA, 254 nt
Filed under: Capsicum annuum
Lineage: Eukaryota; Viridiplantae; Streptophyta; Magnoliopsida; Solanales; Solanaceae
Description: long non-coding RNA (CANN_LNC021155)
Source: RNAcentral